UCCUACGGGGGGCAGCAGUGAGGAAUAUUGGUCAAUGGGCGGGAGCCUGAACCAGCCAAGUCGCGUGAGGGAAGACGGUCCUAUGGAUUGUAAACCUCUUUUGUCGGGGAGCAAAGAGAGUCACGUGUGACUCAUUUAGAGUACCCGAAGAAAAAGCAUCGGCUAACUCCGUGCCAGCAGCCGCGGUAAUACGGAGGAUGCGAGCGUUCUCCGGCUUUAUUGGGUUUAAAGGGUGCGCCGGCGGAGGUGCAAGUCAGCUGUCAAAUUGCGGGGCUCAACCCCGUACUGCCGUUGAAACUGCAUCC
RNAcentral lists this ribosomal RNA (305 nucleotides) under uncultured bacterium. RNAcentral describes it as "bacterial SSU rRNA". It matches the Rfam family "Bacterial small subunit ribosomal RNA", at positions 337 to 640 of the family's 1533-position model. The record is from RNAcentral.